Molecule: ribosomal RNA, 465 nt
Filed under: uncultured bacterium
Lineage: Bacteria
Description: partial 16S ribosomal RNA
Rfam family: Bacterial small subunit ribosomal RNA
Source: RNAcentral
CUACGGGUUGCACCAGUGAGGAAUAUUGCGCAAUGGGGGAAACCCUGACGCAGCGACGCCGCGUGGAUGAUGAAGGCCUUCGGGUCGUAAAAUCCUGUCAGAAGGAAAGAAGUGUAUGGUAGCUAAUAUCUGCCAUACUUGACGGUACCUUCAAAGGAAGCACCGGCUAACUCCGUGCCAGCAGCCGCGGUAAUACGGAGGGUGCAAGCGUUGCUCGGAAUUACUGGGCGUAAAGCGCGCGUAGGCGGUUUUAUAAGUCAGAUGUGAAAGUCCACGGCUCAACCAUGGAAGUGCAUUUGAAACUGUAAGACUUGAGUAGUGGAGGGGGUAGUGGAAUUCCCGGUGUAGAGGUGAAAUUCGUAGAUAUCGGGAGGAAUACCGGUGGCGAAGGCGACUAUCUGGCCAAAUACUGACGCUGAGGUGCGAAAGCGUGGGGAGCAAACAGGAUUAAAUACCCCCGUAGUC